Plutella xylostella (diamondback moth) is the source of this 231-nucleotide long non-coding RNA. RefSeq lists it as uncharacterized. The record is from RefSeq and is a predicted model, not a curated record. Lineage: Eukaryota; Metazoa; Arthropoda; Insecta; Lepidoptera; Plutellidae.
CAAUAACCAAAGUGGCAAGCUGUGUCCCUGCUACGAGUGUGAGUGGUACCUGCGACUGUCGUAAAGCAAAAAGGAUUCUUUGGAAAAUAUUCACGCCGCAGGUGAAGACGUGAAAUGCAAAAAUGAAAAUAAGAUACAGCUGGAAAAUUGGAUGGCUGUGACGUGACCGAAUCCUGAAGGAAUUGCAUUUGUUCAGUCAAAAAGACGCGAAUAAAUAACAAUGUAACUUUG